GAAACGACUGCUAAUACCGCAUAAGCCCACGGGUCGGCAUCGACCAGAGGGAAAAGGAGCAAUCCGCUUUGAGAUGGCCUCGCGUCCGAUUAGCUAGUUGGUGAGGUAACGGCCCACCAAGGCAACGAUCGGUAGCCGGACUGAGAGGUUGAACGGCCACAUUGGGACUGAGACACGGCCCAGACUCCUACGGGAGGCAGCAGUGGGGAAUAUUGCACAAUGGGGGAAACCCUGAUGCAGCGACGCCGCGUGGAGGAAGAAGGUCUUCGGAUUGUAAACUCCUGUUGUUGAGGAAGAUAAUGACGGUACUCAACAAGGAAGUGACGGCUAACUACGUGCCAGCAGCCGCGGUAAAACGUAGGUCACAAGCGUUGUCCGGAAUUACUGGGUGUAAAGGGAGCGCAGGCGGGAAGACAAGUUGGAAGUGAAAUCCAUGGGCUCAACCCAUGAACUGCUUUCAAAACUGUUUUUCUUGAGUAGUGCAGAGGUAGGCGGAAUUCCCGGUGUAGCGGUGGAAUGCGUAGAUAUCGGGAGGAACACCAGUGGCGAAGGCGGCCUACUGGGCACCAACUGACGCUGAGGCUCGAAAGUGUGGGUAGCAAACAGGAUUAGAUACCCUGGUAGUCCACACCGUAAACGAUGAUUACUAGGUGUUGGAGGAUUGACCCCUUCAGUG
This 676-nucleotide ribosomal RNA is filed under the name uncultured bacterium. RNAcentral's name for it is "bacterial SSU rRNA". It matches the Rfam family "Bacterial small subunit ribosomal RNA", at positions 153 to 845 of the family's 1533-position model. The record is from RNAcentral.